GGUGACAACUAUUAUAAGUUUCAUCUUUAAGCCUAUAAUGAGUUGAAUAUAUAUAUAUGUGCGCCUUUACAGCAUUUUGUUAACGAUGGUUAGUGGGAUUGAAAAUUUAUGGCAUGUUUGACAGCCACAGGAACAAUAUGAAAUGGGGACUAUGAAAAUUGCAAUUUUCAAGCUUUGCAAAAUUUCACGAUCACUUUAUAUCGUUUAGAUCAUAAAAAAUUGCUUUACUUUCUCCCAAUGAUUGAAGACUUACCGGUUGAAAUUUAUAUUAGUUGCUAAUAUAUUUCCCCAGUAGAAGAAUCUUAGGUUAGACUUUCCCUUCAUAUUGGAAAUUCAGCUUGUAAUCAUGUUGCAAAUUUGCUAGUGUAUUUCUGCAAGGACCCUCUCCGAAUACAGAAUGAAGAUGCUGAAGAUCAUCAGCUGAGCAAGCAUCUAUUAUAGCAUACACACCAGGUUUCAGAGCCUCGUCUAUCUCCCUUCUAAUGCCAGUUUUAAGGGGACCAUAUCCUGAAUAAACCCAUAUGUAAUUUGAUAAAAACUUGAAACAGUGCCGGCCGAAGACAUCUUUUUUCUGUCGUAACUCUUCAUAAAUCCUCCGAAGGAAGCAGGCACAUUUUACUCCCUCUUGAACUCCCCAUGAAAAAUGACCUUGUCUGACUGUCAAGUCAUUACCCACCAUCUCCAGGCAAUGAAGAAGAACACAGGAAGAUUCUUGAAGCAGAGAAAUGCACUGUUCUGACUUGCUUGUGUGAUUCUUCAAAGUGGUAUACAAUAAUCGGCAGCAUGCGCUGAACAAUUCUAUUGAGAAUCGUUGAUCUACAACACAAGAAUGCAUGCCUGCUACAGGAUCAGGAGUCUUGGUUAUCCACAAGCAAGAAUAUAUCGGAUAAAAGUGGACCUUUAGAAAGUUGACCAAAAUGUUGAAAAAGUGCUGCAGGUAUGCGUAAAGACUGCCCCACAUGCCAGGAAUCCAUUUGAAACCAUUUUUUUUUUGCAGAAACUCUUGUUAGCACCUGAACACACAUAAGAAUAACUGCUCCUGGAUCUGGACCCUUAUGAACACUACCACCAACUGUAGUAUCACAGAAAACUAAUGGGCUUUGCAAGUGUAGAAUAAUGUUGAACAAAGCAGCAAUUAAACUCUUAAUGUGCCUCUUAACAACACUUACACAUUUUUUACCUGAAACGUAUUCCAGAACUAGAUCCAAGCAGUCAAUACCAGCUGCAACAGUUGCAGAAAACUUUCCACCAUCUGCACUUCCAGUAUUUAUGUUGUAGAUUAUUUUACAGCCUUCAUGCACUCCCACCAAUGCUCUCUCAAUAGCUUGUAUUGCAGACAAAACAUGCAAGUCUGAGGACUUGCUUAUUAAUACUUUGAAUGACAUCUUCAAUUUAGCCCUAAAUUCAUCCAAGAAUAGUGACAUAAGAGAAAGAGAUAUUUCAGAUGAUCCUUUAUUACCCCAGAGUAUCUUAUCACUUGACUCUGUCUCAUGAGACGCCAGAGUAGCCAUUUUCCCCUGCAAAGUAAUGCAUUUUCCUAAAGCAUUUAAGUGCAACUCUAUCAGCUUGGCAUGCAAAGUCAAGUUCCAUUUAGGAAAAUAGCUCCCUAAUUCUUGCAGAUAGUUGAGAACACCAUCUAACCAAACAAAAGAGAAUGGUUGUGGCACCUCUGACAUUUCUGCUAACUUCAACAGCAAAACAUUAGAUAAACCAAAACAACUAGG
This 1724-nucleotide unclassified non-coding RNA is filed under the name Hevea brasiliensis (rubber tree). The record is from RNAcentral. Lineage: Eukaryota; Viridiplantae; Streptophyta; Magnoliopsida; Malpighiales; Euphorbiaceae.